Molecule: ribosomal RNA, 2924 nt
Filed under: Shigella sonnei
Lineage: Bacteria; Pseudomonadati; Pseudomonadota; Gammaproteobacteria; Enterobacterales; Enterobacteriaceae
Description: bacterial LSU rRNA
Rfam family: Bacterial large subunit ribosomal RNA
Source: RNAcentral
GGUUAAGCGACUAAGCGUACACGGUGGAUGCCCUGGCAGUCAGAGGCGAUGAAGGACGUGCUAAUCUGCGAUAAGCGUCGGUAAGGUGAUAUGAACCGUUAUAACCGGCGAUUUCCGAAUGGGGAAACCCAGUGUGAUUCGUCACACUAUCAUUAACUGAAUCCAUAGGUUAAUGAGGCGAACCGGGGGAACUGAAACAUCUAAGUACCCCGAGGAAAAGAAAUCAACCGAGAUUCCCCCAGUAGCGGCGAGCGGACGGGGAGCAGCCCAGAGCCUGAAUCAGUGUGUGUGUUAGUGGAAGCGUCUGGAAAGGCGUGCGAUACAGGGUGACAGCCCCGUACACAAAAAUGCACAUAUUGUGAGCUUGAUGAGUAGGGCGGGACACGUGGUAUCCUGUCUGAAUAUGGGGGGACCAUCCUCCAAGGCUAAAUACUCCUGACUGACCGAUAGUGAACCAGUACCGUGAGGGAAAGGCGAAAAGAACCCCGGCGAGGGGAGUGAAAAAGAACCUGAAACCGUGUACGUACAAGCAGUGGGAGCACGCUUAGGCGUGUGACUGCGUACCUUUUGUAUAAUGGGUCAGCGACUUAUAUUCUGUAGCAAGGUUAACCGAAUAGGGGAGCCGAAGGGAAACCGAGUCUUAACUGGGCGUUAAGUUGCAGGGUAUAGACCCGAAACCCGGUGAUCUAGCCAUGGGCAGGUUGAAGGUUGGGUAACACUAACUGGAGGACCGAACCGACUAAUGUUGAAAAAUUAGCGGAUGACUUGUGGCUGGGGGUGAAAGGCCAAUCAAACCGGGAGAUAGCUGGUUCUCCCCGAAAGCUAUUUAGGUAGCGCCUCGUGAAUUCAUCUCCGGGGGUAGAGCACUGUUUCGGCAAGGGGGUCAUCCCGACUUACCAACCCGAUGCAAACUGCGAAUACCGGAGAAUGUUAUCACGGGAGACACACGGCGGGUGCUAACGUCCGUCGUGAAGAGGGAAACAACCCAGACCGCCAGCUAAGGUCCCAAAGUCAUGGUUAAGUGGGAAACGAUGUGGGAAGGCCCAGACAGCCAGGAUGUUGGCUUAGAAGCAGCCAUCAUUUAAAGAAAGCGUAAUAGCUCACUGGUCGAGUCGGCCUGCGCGGAAGAUGUAACGGGGCUAAACCAUGCACCGAAGCUGCGGCAGCGACGCUUAUGCGUUGUUGGGUAGGGGAGCGUUCUGUAAGCCUGCGAAGGUGUGCUGUGAGGCAUGCUGGAGGUAUCAGAAGUGCGAAUGCUGACAUAAGUAACGAUAAAGCGGGUGAAAAGCCCGCUCGCCGGAAGACCAAGGGUUCCUGUCCAACGUUAAUCGGGGCAGGGUGAGUCGACCCCUAAGGCGAGGCCGAAAGGCGUAGUCGAUGGGAAACAGGUUAAUAUUCCUGUACUUGGUAUUACUGCGAAGGGGGGACGGAGAAGGCUAUGUUGGCCGGGCGACGGUUGUCCCGGUUUAAGCGUGUAGGCUGGUUUUCCAGGCAAAUCCGGAAAAUCAAGGCUGAGGCGUGAUGACGAGGCACUACGGUGCUGAAGCAACAAAUGCCCUGCUUCCAGGAAAAGCCUCUAAGCAUCAGGUAACAUCAAAUCGUACCCCAAACCGACACAGGUGGUCAGGUAGAGAAUACCAAGGCGCUUGAGAGAACUCGGGUGAAGGAACUAGGCAAAAUGGUGCCGUAACUUCGGGAGAAGGCACGCUGAUAUGUAGGUGAAGUCCCUUGCGGAUGGAGCUGAAAUCAGUCGAAGAUACCAGCUGGCUGCAACUGUUUAUUAAAAACACAGCACUGUGCAAACACGAAAGUGGACGUAUACGGUGUGACGCCUGCCCGGUGCCGGAAGGUUAAUUGAUGGGGUCAGCGCAAGCGAAGCUCUUGAUCGAAGCCCCGGUAAACGGCGGCCGUAACUAUAACGGUCCUAAGGUAGCGAAAUUCCUUGUCGGGUAAGUUCCGACCUGCACGAAUGGCGUAAUGAUGGCCAGGCUGUCUCCACCCGAGACUCAGUGAAAUUGAACUCGCUGUGAAGAUGCAGUGUACCCGCGGCAAGACGGAAAGACCCCGUGAACCUUUACUAUAGCUUGACACUGAACAUUGAGCCUUGAUGUGUAGGAUAGGUGGGAGGCUUUGAAGUGUGGACGCCAGUCUGCAUGGAGCCGGCCUUGAAAUACCACCCUUUAAUGUUUGAUGUUCUAACGUGGACCCGUGAUCCGGGUUGCGGACAGUGUCUGGUGGGUAGUUUGACUGGGGCGGUCUCCUCCUAAAGAGUAACGGAGGAGCACGAAGGUUGGCUAAUCCUGGUCGGACAUCAGGAGGUUAGUGCAAUGGCAUAAGCCAGCUUGACUGCGAGCGUGACGGCGCGAGCAGGUGCGAAAGCAGGUCAUAGUGAUCCGGUGGUUCUGAAUGGAAGGGCCAUCGCUCAACGGAUAAAAGGUACUCCGGGGAUAACAGGCUGAUACCGCCCAAGAGUUCAUAUCGACGGCGGUGUUUGGCACCUCGAUGUCGGCUCAUCACAUCCUGGGGCUGAAGUAGGUCCCAAGGGUAUGGCUGUUCGCCAUUUAAAGUGGUACGCGAGCUGGGUUUAGAACGUCGUGAGACAGUUCGGUCCCUAUCUGCCGUGGGCGAUGGAGAACUGAGGGGGGCUGCUCCUAGUACGAGAGGACCGGAGUGGACGCAUCACUGGUGUUCGGGUUGUCAUGCCAAUGGCACUGCCCGGUAGCUAAAUGCGGAAGAGAUAAGUGCUGAAAGCAUCUAAGCACGAAACUUGCCCCGAGAUGAGUUCUCCCUGACCCUUUAAGGGUCCUGAAGGAACGUUGAAGACGACGACGUUGAUAGGCCGGGUGUGUAAGCGCAGCGAUGCGUUGAGCUAACCGGUACUAAUGAACCGUGAGGCUUAACCUUACAACGCCGAAGAUGUUUUG